Molecule: long non-coding RNA, 540 nt
Organism: Asparagus officinalis (garden asparagus)
Lineage: Eukaryota; Viridiplantae; Streptophyta; Magnoliopsida; Asparagales; Asparagaceae
Exons: 3
Source: RefSeq, a predicted model, not a curated record
ACAAAUAUGGAAGAUUUGGGGGCAUAUAGACAAAUAACGCUUCUUGAAAAAGACGACAACUCAUCAGUUAAAAAUUCUCAGGCCGCUAUUCUAAAUUCAAAACACUGUCAUUCUCAGCGACGGGAUGAAGCUGGGAUAGAUUGGCAGCCAGCUUUAGGUUUCCCACUUGCUGAAUACUUCAAAGAAAGCAAUGACGAUGGGGACACUGCUGGCUGCUGCGAAUAGAGGAAGGAUUUUAGCCCAGUUUUGGAUCCUUUUUCGAAAAGUUCAUGUAGCUGGCCCAAACAGGUUGGCAGUGCUUUUGUGGUUGUUUCUGUGCUGUUGCGAUUGCUCUCCUGUUCUUGCUCUGUGUGUCUAGAUAUAUGUAUGUGUAUAGAAAAGUUCAUGUACCUCACCCAAACAGGUUGUGGCGGUGCCUUAACAGAUGUUUCUGUUUCUGUUGCUGCUGUUGUUGCCUUUCUGUUCUUGCUGUGCGUGUAUAUAGAUAUAAUGAUAUAUGUAGAUAUAUGUACUAAUGGAUGUAUGUAUGUAUGUGUAUGU